Molecule: long non-coding RNA, 1485 nt
Organism: Haemorhous mexicanus (house finch)
Lineage: Eukaryota; Metazoa; Chordata; Aves; Passeriformes; Fringillidae
Exons: 2
Source: RefSeq, a predicted model, not a curated record
UGUGGCAGACCUAGAUGCACUUUUUGGAUUACUAGUUAUUUAGGUAGAUAUCAAAGCUUCAGGUUGCAACAUGACUUUUCCCCUUUUAUUUUCUCUUUGACCUAAGGUCUGUUUGCUACAGGGAAAGGUACCUGAAGCCAAUUUUUCCAUAGGUGGGACCUUUAUCUGGCAAACACUACAGCAGCAAAGUUGAGCUACCUGACUUUCUGCAAGCAAGCAGUCUGCAGCGGAACUGGUUAUUUUAAAUGGUAUUGGGAGAUUGCUAUUGCAACUAGCCUGCAAGACCUGGUUUGAGACAACAAAGGCAAGGGGGAGUGGGCAUCAAAAGCAGCACCUUUUGUGGGGCAGGACAUUUCCACCAGAUCCAGAGGAACAGCACCACCAUCCUCAGAACAGCUUUACAUGUCUCUCCCUGGCCAGGCUUGACUGGAAAUGUCUCUAAGAUCUUCAGCCUUCUUCAGCAGUAUGAACUACCUGCAUGGUUGUGAAGUUUUUCACAGCUUGGAAAAAGUUGUGCAGUUUUCUAAGAUGCCCUGCAGCAGAGGCCAAGCUGUUAGGAGACCACUUUCAAACAUUAAACCUAAUGCUUCCUACCAGAAUUUAGGCUCUUUGCAUCCUCCUCUGACUCUCAUGGACCAAGAAACAAAAUUUUUCCUCUUCCCCUUUGCAGCUGCCUUUUUUGUUGUGCUUCCCUCAUGUUAGAUUAAACAGUCUGAUUUCACACACUCUUUCCUUGCUGAGCACAUUUUCCAGACCAUUGGCUACUCUCACUGCUCUCUCCUGGGCAUCCUCCAGCUUCUCCCCAUCUUGCAGGAAGUGCCUUGCCCAAAACCAGAUACACAGCUGUUCAUCUGAGGUUUAGCAAAUGCUGACAGGAGUGGAAUGAGUUCUGCAUGAGCCCUGUAGUUAAUGCUGCUGUUUGUAUAAUCUGGUAGAGUGUUAACUUUUCUAGCAAGAGCAGCAGAUUAACUCCUCCUACCUACAGAUUCAUUGUGACUCCCAGAUAGUUUUCCACAGAAGUAUUACUCAAAAAUUUGUCUGUCUAAGCACUGGGUGACAUUGCCUUCCUCUUGAGUAAUACUCUCUUAAAAAGAAAAGAAUAUUAGUUUGUCAUGAAAAUGUCAAGUGUUCCUGGUUUUCAGCACUGGCACUGACCGUACUUUUACCUCAGUCCCUGAAUUUCAGUUGGGUUUCUUCCUAGUUCAAUAUCCUAGUUGCUGGAAAUAUUGAUUUGGAAAAAAGAUACGGACUUAAUUCAAACUGUGUAUUUGUAGUACGGCUGGGCACUUUUCUGGCAUGUUUCUCCAGUUUUGUUCCCACACAAAUGUAUUUCAUCCAGUCUUGGUUUGCCUAAUUUAUUUAUAAAAAGAUCACAUCAGCCAAUAUCAGAAACAUAAUGAAAGACAAGAUUUAUGGCUUCUAUUGUUUAUUCACAAGCCUUUUACCUCAUUAUAACCUUCCAUAAAGGAAAUGGGAUUGGUUGGA